Molecule: long non-coding RNA, 380 nt
Filed under: Vigna radiata
Lineage: Eukaryota; Viridiplantae; Streptophyta; Magnoliopsida; Fabales; Fabaceae
Description: long non-coding RNA (VRAD_LNC007298)
Source: RNAcentral
GGAGGAAGGGAGGAGGGGAGGGGGCACGUGAGAAGAGAGGAGAAAUGGGGUGUAGGGUUUGGGAAUAUGAAAUACGACAGUGAGGAGAAAGGAAUGAGUAGUAUAGGGUUUUAAUUGUUUAACUGGUCAAUUAAAAAAAAGUAGCAGUACAGAUUCUCUAACAUGGACAAAAAUAAAAAAAAAAAAAUAGAGAGAUGGAAGUUGAGAUGGGUGAGGUGCACAGAGAAAUACUCUUCAUAUAAUUACACCGAAAUUAUUAAAUAGUAAUCAAUUUUAAAGACUAAAAUAAUUAGUUAUUAUUGACUAAGUUGUGUAUCAUAUUAUAAAUUGAAAAUUAUUGAUAUCUAUAAUAGUAUUUAUUAAGAAUAAAAAAUUAUAAU